GAGAGGCAUUCUCACUCAGUGAAUUUCCUGGGGGUUCUAGAGCUUGUGGAGGGGUUGGUGUACAGCAGGUAGAAAGGAGCAAGGGGACCCAAGAAGCCAAGGCCCGCCCUUUUUGUUGGUUUGCUAUUGAGGAGGCUUAGCACCCAGCUGGCCCAACAGCGUUCUACUCUAGAAAGAGAUGUACGAAGAUUGCGCAGCCCCCUCACCUGGGUUAGCAAAGACAUUACUAAUUGACCACAGCAUGCUUCGCAUGGAGGAACAGAUCCAGAAUCC
Fukomys damarensis (Damara mole-rat) is the source of this 273-nucleotide long non-coding RNA. RefSeq lists it as uncharacterized. Lineage: Eukaryota; Metazoa; Chordata; Mammalia; Rodentia; Bathyergidae. The transcript has 3 exons. The record is from RefSeq and is a predicted model, not a curated record.